UAAAAUUCAAUAAAUUAAUAUAAUAUUUCAAAAUAUUGUAAAAAAUCUAUACUAAGCUAUCAUUACCCAUUUUUAAAACCAACCAUUUCAUUGGUUACAAAUUUACACCCUUUUGUUUUUCUAUUUUCUCUCUUCUUCCCAUGUUGUGAUUCCAUUCUUGUCGUUUUCGUCUUUUAACUCACUUCCACACACCAAACUAGUUUGGGAAAUUGCUUCACUCCUUUUUUUUUCAUGCAGUAAUUAUUGCCCCCU
RNAcentral lists this long non-coding RNA (252 nucleotides) under Vigna radiata. Its description in RNAcentral is "long non-coding RNA (VRAD_LNC004805)". Lineage: Eukaryota; Viridiplantae; Streptophyta; Magnoliopsida; Fabales; Fabaceae. The record is from RNAcentral.